RNAcentral lists this ribosomal RNA (662 nucleotides) under uncultured Acidobacteriota bacterium. RNAcentral's name for it is "bacterial SSU rRNA". It matches the Rfam family "Bacterial small subunit ribosomal RNA", at positions 58 to 752 of the family's 1533-position model. Lineage: Bacteria; Pseudomonadati; Acidobacteriota. The record is from RNAcentral.
CAAGUCGCACGAGAAAGUGGAGCAAUCCAUGAGUAAAGUGGCGCACGGGUGAGUAACACGUGAAUCAUCUACCUCCGAGUGGGGAAUAACCUAGAGAAAUCUGGGCUAAUACCGCAUAACACUUACGAGUCAAAGCAGCAAUGCGCUUGGAGAGGAGUUCGCGGCCGAUUAGCUAGUUGGCGGGGUAAUGGCCCACCAAGGCGAUGAUCGGUAUCCGGCCUGAGAGGGCGCACGGACACACUGGAACUGAAACACGGUCCAGACUCCUACGGGAGGCAGCAGUGGGGAAUUUUGCGCAAUGGGGGAAACCCUGACGCAGCAACGCCGCGUGGAGGAUGAAAUCCCUUGGGAUGUAAACUCCUUUCGAUGGGGAAGAUUAUGGCGGUACCCAUAGAAGAAGCCCCGGCUAACUUCGUGCCAGCAGCCGCGGUAAUACGAGGGGGGCAAGCGUUGUUCGGAAUUAUUGGGCGUAAAGGGUGCGUAGGCGGUUUGACAAGUCUGAUGUGAAAUCUAUGGGCUCAACCCAUAGUCUGCAUCGGAAACUGUCGGGCUUGAGUAUGGGAGAGGUGAGUGGAAUUUCCGGUGUAGCGGUGAAAUGCGUAGAUAUCGGAAGGAACACCUGUGGCGAAAGCGGCUCACUGGACCAUUACUGACGCUGAGGC